Molecule: long non-coding RNA, 656 nt
Filed under: Chloebia gouldiae (Gouldian finch)
Lineage: Eukaryota; Metazoa; Chordata; Aves; Passeriformes; Passeridae
Description: Erythrura gouldiae (Gouldian finch) lncRNA (ENSEGOG00005000904.1)
Source: RNAcentral
CUAUCCAGCAAAGAGAGGAUUUGAGGUUAGCCUAAAUCUACAUUAUGGUGCCUGCACAGGUGCACACAAAUUGCAAACAGAGUUGACAUUUUUCACAAGUCUCUACCCAAAAUUGUUCCAGUUGGGGUAGUGAUGAAAACAUGGAAUGAUGGAGGUUCUGAGAACUUCAGUCUUGUGUUGGUGUGAUUUUUGCAAAAGCAGCAAGGGAAAUCCCAGUGCUUUCAGGUGGUCUCAGCACAGAAUCAUUGUGAAGGGCACACUGUUUCUCUGAUGUAAGAGCCAUGAAGCCAGCCAAAAUUACAUUUUUUAAAGCCAAAUGGAAAGAAAAAGGCUUGGAAGCACAGGAUGACAUGAAAAUUCAGUAUUUCCUUCCACCCCUGUGGCUUUCAGUGAGGUACUCCCAAUGAUUUCUAAGGUCUCUCAGUGGUUCUGGGGGAUCUUCAGACCCUACAUCAGUGAUCAGCCUGACCUGAAAUGGAAGGAAAGAUGUGUGGGACUUGGAUUGCUCAAGCUCCACAGGCUGCAGAGAGGAUUUUGUCCCCAGGCAUUUAUUGUUAAAUGAGGAGUAAUAACCUGCACUGUGAGUAGAAUAUAAUGAAUUCCCUCAGUUACUAUUUUUGUAAUCAAUCAGGUUUUUUAAGGUGAGUUAAUGAUGA